This is a long non-coding RNA of Ricinus communis (castor bean), 1254 nucleotides long. RefSeq lists it as uncharacterized. Lineage: Eukaryota; Viridiplantae; Streptophyta; Magnoliopsida; Malpighiales; Euphorbiaceae. The record is from RefSeq and is a predicted model, not a curated record. The transcript has 2 exons.
UUCUCUUUCAUUAGUUGUUGUACUCGUAGAUAUAAGUAACUAGUUGGAGUUCCUUUACUUUUGUAUCAAAUAUUAUUUUUUCUUGUUAUGAAUAUAAUUUCACAUUCACAAUUCUUUAUAUUAUCAUAGCUUAAUUCUUUUCUAUUUUUCUGAAGAAAUAAAUAGUUAAUACCCUCUCUCGAAUUUCAUCUUUUAGCCAAACAAAUUAGUUUUCUUGAAUCCUUGUAACUUUCUGAUAUUGUUACAUAUCUUUGUUUUGCAAAUUGUUGGUUGGUUGUUUCUAGAUCUAGAAAUUUUCUUGGUUAUUUUCUUGCUGUCCGAACAAAGUUUUUUCUUCCUUUUUACUUGAAUGGCUAAUCAAGUUAGAGCAUAAGAUUUACCUUUGAGUCCUUAUUAUCUACAUCCUAAUGAGAAUCCUUUUCUGGUUCUUGUGUCCUCUUUACUCACUAGAUCGAAUUAUUACUCCUAGUCAAGAGGAAUGAAGCUUGUUAUUGUCUAAAAAUAAGUUAAAGUUUGUGGAUGGAUCGAUUAAGAUGCUUGACAAAGAAAAUACUUUGUUUCCAGCUUGUGAAAGAUGUAAUACUAUGGUGUUGUCAUGGUUGAUUAAGUCUUUGUCAACGUCCAUUGCACAAAGUGCUAUUUCAUUAGAUUUUGAUUUAGAUGUUUGGACAGAUCUUAGAGAUCGUAUCUCAUAAGGAGAUUCUAUGUGUAUAACAGACUUACUAGAGGAGACUUAUUCUUUUAAGCAAGGAUCUUUAAUAGUUAUUGAGUAUUUCACUCAACUCAAGAUACUAUGGGAUGAAUUUAUGAGUUUGAGGCUAAUGCCAAGUUGUUCUUGUGAACCUUCCUGUGACUGUCUAGCUUUUUCCACAGUAAAGAACUACGUGCAAAGUGGUUGUGUUAUUCGAAUUCUGAAAAGUCUUAAUGAAACCUUUUCAAAUGUGAAGUCGCUAAUCCUUAUAAUGGAACCAUUACCUUCCGUUAAUAAGGACAUCAAGUGAUGGAAGAUGAUUAGAUUAGCUGAAGAGAGGAGCGGGUUAUAUCAUUUGCUUCCUUCUUGUACAAAUUUCUUUUCUGUUAAUUAUAUUACUAGUGCUAAUAAACCUAGUAAUCUUUAGCACUAAAAGCUUGGCCAUGCUUCUAUUAACAAAAUAAAGAUGUUAACAAAUAUAAAUCCUAGUGAACUUACUCAGCAUGUUGAUCAUUAUGACAUUUGUUAAAUUGCAAAGCAAAGAAAAUUUUCUUUUCCUUUGA